CCAAUAGCGUAUAUUAAAGUUGUUGCAGUUAAAAAGCUCGUAGUUGAAUUUCGGGAUCAAGGAAUCGGUCAUGCCUCGGUAUGUACUGGUUUUAUUGGUUCUCACCUUCUCAAGAACCAUAAUGUCAUUCAUUUGAUGUUAUGGGGAAUUAGGACUGUUACCUUGAAAAAAUUAGAGUGUUUAAAGCAGGCUUACGCUUGAAUACAUUAGCAUGGAAUAAUGAAAUAGGACAUCAGAUUCUAUUUUGUUGGUUUCUAGGAUCGAUGUAAUGAUUAAUAGGGAUAGUUGGGGGCAUUAGUAUUCAAUUGUCAGAGGUGAAAUUCUUGGAUUUAUUGAAGACUAACUACUGCGAAAGCAUUUGCCAAGGAUGUUUUCAUUAAUCAAGAACGAAAGUUAGGGGAUCGAAGACGAUCAGAUACCGUCGUAGUCUUAACCAUAAACUAUGCCGACUAGGGAUCGGAUGAUGUUAAUUUUAUAAUGACUCAUUCGGCACCUUACG
RNAcentral lists this ribosomal RNA (499 nucleotides) under uncultured Glomeromycotina. Its description in RNAcentral is "partial small subunit ribosomal RNA". It matches the Rfam family "Eukaryotic small subunit ribosomal RNA", at positions 591 to 1092 of the family's 1831-position model. Lineage: Eukaryota; Fungi; Glomeromycota. The record is from RNAcentral.